This is a non-coding RNA of Pelodiscus sinensis (Chinese soft-shelled turtle), 943 nucleotides long. Lineage: Eukaryota; Metazoa; Chordata; Testudines; Trionychidae. The record is from RefSeq and is a predicted model, not a curated record.
CACAGGGCUCGUUUUGUGGUGGUUUUGGUGACAAUUGCACUGUAAAAACAAUGGAAACGGGAUUUUUCUAUUCACCUCUUCCAGAGUCGGCAAUCCGUGGGAGGCGCAAGAGCCCUGCGGUGAAGAAGCGCCGUGAGCUCAGAGGGAGGUGUCGUUGCCCAUUGCAUUCUGUGAGCAAUAGCAGAGCGGAGAGGGGGCUCGUCCUGACUCUAUUUAAGGCCAUGAACAGUUAGGAAGGAACUGAUGAGGCUGGACCACUCUCCAUGAAAGGGCGUGAACAGCACAAGACAACACGCGCAUGUUCAGUCCGGCUGGGCUACUGCUGAUGAAGAUGCUCCGGACUGCGACGCCGGGACGAGCCCAAUACCUUCAGUGGAGCACCCACGGGGAUGCUACUCGAUGAAGAAUCCACAGUUACACAUCCACAACAAAAAAUAAAAACCGAAUGGAAUCUAAACGGGUCAGAAACGCAAUGGGAAGCACUCCCCGUUCCACACGCUUAGGAAAUCUCCCAUGGGAACCCAGGCAGUGUCUGGGUAGUGCAAUCACUCAAUUAGCUCGUCAGCAGCCAGGAUGUGUAAGCAAGAAAAAUACAAAAUGGAGAAGAGCAAAAGAUCGAUGCUUCUUUCCUUGUCAUCCCACAGAAAUGAGGAAAGGGCUGAUGAACCAGAUGGGUUAAGGCAGCUUAGCUAACAUCAAAUAGCAUGUGAGAACGCAUGGCUCAGAAUGCCAUCGGAAAAGCGAGCGGGUCUGAUUUUGACUCCAAAGGAUCAAAUUUAGGAUUUGAAUUCCAUAUGGCCGCGAGGUUAGCAUUGGUCAAGGGAUGAGCGAAGACAGGUGAGUCGUAGAUGUAACCGUUUUUGUUUCCCUGUGGCAGCAUGAAGGAAUCCAGAGGUAAAUUCUUAUUUAUAUUUCCACCCUUCUGCCUCAUUUCUGAGGAGUG